GACGAACGCUGGCGGCGUGCCUAAUACAUGCAAGUCGAACGCAUUUUCCUUCACCGUAGCUUGCUACACCGAUAGAGCAUGAGUGGCGAACGGGUGAGUAACACGUGGGUAACCUGCCCAUCAGCGGGGGAUAACACUUGGAAACAGGUGCUAAUACCGCAUAAUUCCAUUUACUGCAUGGUAGAUGGAUGAAUGGCACUUUUGCGGCACAGAUGGGUGGACCCGCGGUGCAUUAGCUAGGGGGUGGGGUGACGGCCUACCAAGGCUGCGAUGCAUAGCCGACCUGAGAGGGUGCUCGGCCACACUGGGACUGGGACACGGCCCAGACUCCUACGGGAGGCAGCAGUAGGGGAUCUUCGGCGAUGGACGCAAGUCUGACCGAGCAACGCCGCGUGAGUGAAGAAGGUUUUCGGAUCGUAAAACUCUGUUGUUAGAUAAGAACAAGGAGGAGAGUGGAAAGUUCAUCUCUUGACGGUAUCUAACCAGAAAGCCCCGGCUAACUACGUG
This 507-nucleotide ribosomal RNA is filed under the name uncultured bacterium. Its description in RNAcentral is "partial 16S ribosomal RNA". It matches the Rfam family "Bacterial small subunit ribosomal RNA", at positions 28 to 507 of the family's 1533-position model. The record is from RNAcentral.